UGUCUCCUACGGGACGCAGCAGUGAGGAAUAUUGGUCAAUGGCCGGAAGGCUGAACCAGCCACGCCGCGUGAAGGACGAAGGGGCCAAGCAUUGUAAACUUCUUUUGUCAGGGGACAAAAUCAGGCUCGAGAGCCUGACCGAGGGUACUUGAAGAAAAAGCAUCGGCUAACUCCGUGCCAGCAGCCGCGGUAAUACGGAGGAUGCGAGCGUUAUCCGGAUUUAUUGGGUUUAAAGGGUGCGUAGGCGGACUGUUAAGUCAGCGGUAAAAUCCCGGGGCUCAACCCCGGCGAGCCGUUGAAACUGG
Molecule: ribosomal RNA, 305 nt
Filed under: uncultured bacterium
Lineage: Bacteria
Description: bacterial SSU rRNA
Rfam family: Bacterial small subunit ribosomal RNA
Source: RNAcentral